AGGUUAAGUUAACAAGGGCGCAUGGUGAAUGCCUUGGCACUAGGAGCCGAUGAAGGACGGGACUAACACCGAUAUGCUUCGGGGAGCUGUACGUAAGCUAUGAUCCGGAGAUUUCCGAAUGGGGCAACCCAGCAGUUUUAAUCAACUGUUACCACUAGAUGAAUUCAUAGUCUAGUUGGAGGUAAACGCUGUGAACUGAAACAUCUCAUUAGCAGCAGGAAAAUAAAGAAAUUUCGAUUCCCUAAGUAGCGGCGAGCGAACGGGGAACAGCCCAAACCAAAGUGCUUGCACUUUGGGGUUGUAGGACUGAACAUUUGAGUUACCAAAGAACUUGAUAGUCGAAGGAUUUGGGAAAAUCCGCCAUAGAUGGUGAUAGCCCAGUAGAUUAAAUCAAAUUCUCUCAGUUCAGGAUCCUGAGUACGGCGGAACACGUGAAAUUCCGUCGGAAUCCGGGAGGACCAUCUCCCAAGGCUAAAUACUACCUAGUGACCGAUAGUGAACCAGUACCGUGAGGGAAAGGUGAAAAGCACCCCGGGAGGGGAGUGAAAUAGUUCCUGAAACCAUGUGCCUACAAUAAGUCAGAGCGCGUUAAUGCGUGAUGGCGUGCCUUUUGUAGAAUGAACCGGCGAGUUAUGAUCCCGUGCAAGGUUAAGACUAAAAAGUCGGAGCCGUAGCGAAAGCGAGUCUGAAAUGGGCGUUUUGAGUACGAGGUUAUAGACCCGAAACCAGGUGACCUAUCCAUGUCCAGGUUGAAGGUGCGGUAAAACGCACUGGAGGACCGAACCCGUGUAAGUUGAAAAUUGCUGGGAUGAGGUGUGGAUAGCGGUGAAAUUCCAAACGAACUUGGAGAUAGCUGGUUCUCUCCGAAAUAGCUUUAGGGCUAGCCUCGGAAUUAGGAUCAUGGAGGUAGAGCACUAUUUGGACUAGGGGCCCGUCUUGGGUUACUGAAUUCAGAUAAACUCCGAAUGCCAUUGAUUCAUAUCCGGGAGUCAGACGAUGAGUGAUAAGAUCCACCGUCGAAAGGGGAACAGCCCAGACCAUCAGUUAAGGUCCCUAAAUGUAUGCUAAGUGGAAAAGGAUGUGGAGUUGCAUAGACAACUAGGAUGUUGGCUCAGAAGCAGCCACCAUUUAAAGAGUGCGUAAUAGCUCACUAGUCGAGUGAUCCUGCGCCGAAAAUGUACCGGGGCUAAGCAUACUACCGAAACCAUGGAUGCGACCAUUAGGUCGCGUGAUAGGAGAGCGUUCUAAGGGCGGUGAAGCAAGAUCGUGAGGACUUGUGGAGCGCUUAGAAGUGAGAAUGCCGGUAUGAGUAGCGAAAGAUAGGUGAGAAUCCUAUCCACCGAAUGACUAAGGUUUCCUGGGGAAGGCUCGUCCUCCCAGGGUUAGUCGGGACCUAAGUCGAGGCCGAGAGGCGUAGACGAUGGAUAACAGGUUGAGAUUCCUGUACUAGUUAAGUGCGUUUGAGCAAUGGAGGGACGCAGGAGGCUAAGAUGUGCAUUCUGUUGGAUUAGAAUGUCCAAGCAGUAAGUCUUGUGAAGAGUCAAAUGCUUUUCACUUUAAGGACAAGCUGUGAUGGGGAGCGAAAUUUAGUAGCGAAGCGUCUGAUGUCACACUGCCGAGAAAAGCUUCUAGUGAGUACUUAACUACCCGUACCGCAAACCGACACAGGUAGUCGAGGAGAGAAUCCUAAGGUGAGCGAGUGAACUCUCGUUAAGGAACUCGGCAAAAUGACCCCGUAACUUCGGGAGAAGGGGUGCUGAUCGCAAGAUCAGCCGCAGUGAAUAGGCCCAGGCGACUGUUUAUCAAAAACACAGGUCUCUGCAAAAUCGUAAGAUGACGUAUAGGGGCUGACGCCUGCCCGGUGCUGGAAGGUUAAAAGGAUGGGUUAGCUUCGGCGAAGCUCAGAAUUGAAGCCCCAGUAAACGGCGGCCGUAACUAUAACGGUCCUAAGGUAGCGAAAUUCCUUGUCGGGUAAGUUCCGACCCGCACGAAAGGCGUAACGAUCUGGGCACUGUCUCAACGAGAGACUCGGUGAAAUUAUAUUGUCCGUGAAGAUGCGGACUACCCGCGACAGGACGGAAAGACCCCAUGGAGCUUUACUGUAGCUUGAUAUUGAGUGUUUGUACAGCUUGUACAGGAUAGGUAGGAGCCAUAGAAACCGGAACGCUAGUUUCGGUGGAGGCGUUGGUGGGAUACUACCCUCGCUGUAUGACCACUCUAACCCGCACCACUAAUCGUGGUGGGAGACAGUGUCAGGUGGGCAGUUUGACUGGGGCGGUCGCCUCCUAAAAAGUAACGGAGGCGCCCAAAGGUUCCCUCAGAAUGGUUGGAAAUCAUUCGCAGAGUGUAAAGGCACAAGGGAGCUUGACUGCGAGACAGACAGGUCGAGCAGGGACGAAAGUCGGGCUUAGUGAUCCGGUGGUACCGUAUGGAAGGGCCAUCGCUCAACGGAUAAAAGCUACCCUGGGGAUAACAGGCUUAUCUCCCCCAAGAGUCCACAUCGACGGGGAGGUUUGGCACCUCGAUGUCGGCUCAUCGCAUCCUGGGGCUGUAGUCGGUCCCAAGGGUUGGGCUGUUCGCCCAUUAAAGCGGUACGCGAGCUGGGUUCAGAACGUCGUGAGACAGUUCGGUCCCUAUCCGUCGCGGGCGUAGGAAAUUUGAGAGGACCUGUCCUUAGUACGAGAGGACCGGGAUGGACAUACCUCUGGUGUACCAGUUGUGCCGCCAGGCGCAUCGCUGGGUAGCUACGUAUGGAUGUGAUAAACGCUGAAAGCAUCUAAGUGUGAAACACACCUCGAGAUGAGAUUUCCCAUUCCUUUAUGGAAGUAAGACCCCUGAAAGAUGAUCAGGUAGAUAGGUUAGAAGUGGCAGUGCGGUGACGCAUGAAGCGGACUAAUACUAAUCGGUCGAGGACUUAACCAAG
Molecule: ribosomal RNA, 2923 nt
Filed under: Lactiplantibacillus plantarum
Lineage: Bacteria; Bacillati; Bacillota; Bacilli; Lactobacillales; Lactobacillaceae
Description: Lactobacillus plantarum 23S ribosomal RNA
Rfam family: Bacterial large subunit ribosomal RNA
Source: RNAcentral